Molecule: ribosomal RNA, 478 nt
Filed under: uncultured bacterium
Lineage: Bacteria
Description: partial 16S ribosomal RNA
Rfam family: Bacterial small subunit ribosomal RNA
Source: RNAcentral
GAUGAACGCUGGCGGCGUGCUUAACACAUGCAAGUCGAACGAGAAGUGGAGACGGAAACCUUCGGGCGGAAGACUUUAUUUCGAGUGGCGGACGGGUGAGUAACGCGUGGGUAACCUGCCUCAUACAGGGGGAUAACAGUUGGAAACGACUGUUAAUACCGCAUAAGACCACAGCACCGCAUGGUGCCGGGGUAAAAACUCCGGUGGUAUGAGAUGGACCCGCGUUCGAUUAGCCAGUUGGCGGGGUAACGGCCCACCAAAGCGACGAUCGAUAGCCGAUCUGAGAGGAUGACCGGCCACAUUGGGACUGAGACACGGCCCAAACUCCUACGGGAGGCAGCAGUGGGGAAUAUUGCACAAUGGGGGAAACCCUGAUGCAGCGACGCCGCGUGAGUGAAGAAGUAUUUCGGUAUGUAAAGCUCUAUCAGCAGGGAAGAAAAUGACGGUACCUGAGUAAGAAGCCCCGGCUAACUACGUG